RNAcentral lists this non-coding RNA (119 nucleotides) under unclassified sequences. The record is from RNAcentral.
AACUCAGCUAGGGAGAGUAGCGAGCAUUACGUAAUACUACGUAUUACUCCAAUAACAUUGUCACUGAUGAGACCUAGACGAAACUACGGUAAACAUUUGCAUCAUACUGUAGUCUGAUA